GACACGGCUGAGCGGUCCGCCGCAAGGCGAGUACUGCUCUGGCCGGGUCUUUCCUUCUGGAGAGCCAGUAUGCCCUUUAGUGGGUGUGUUGGGGAACCAGGACUUUUACUUUGAAAAAAUUAGAGUGUUUAAAGCGGGCUUAUGCUUGAAUACAUUAGCAUGGAAUAAUAGAAUAGGACU
RNAcentral lists this ribosomal RNA (180 nucleotides) under uncultured Glomeromycotina. RNAcentral's name for it is "partial small subunit ribosomal RNA". The stretch from base 89 to 180 matches the Rfam family "Eukaryotic small subunit ribosomal RNA", at positions 735 to 829 of the family's 1831-position model. The record is from RNAcentral. Lineage: Eukaryota; Fungi; Glomeromycota.